RNAcentral lists this ribosomal RNA (571 nucleotides) under uncultured bacterium. RNAcentral's name for it is "bacterial SSU rRNA". It matches the Rfam family "Bacterial small subunit ribosomal RNA", at positions 338 to 917 of the family's 1533-position model. The record is from RNAcentral.
CCUACGGGAGGCAGCAGUAAGGAAUAUUGGUCAAUGGACGAAAGUCUGAACCAGCCAUGCCGCGUGAAGAUGAAGGUCCUCUGGAUUGUAAACUUCUUUUAUCUGGGACGAAAAAAGGGAAUUCUUUCUCACUUGACGGUACAGAAGAAUAAGCACCGGCUAACUCCGUGCCAGCAGCCGCGGUAAUACGGAGGGUGCAAGCGUUAUCCGGAUCACUGGGUUUAAAGGGUGCGUAGGUGGGCAGUUAAGUCAGUGGUGAAAUCUCCGGGCUUAACCCGGAAACUGCAUUGAUACUAUAAGUCUUGAAUUAUAUGGAGGUAAGCGGAAUAUGUCAUGUAGCGGUGAAAUGCUUAGAUAGACAUAGAACACCGAUUGCGAAGGCAGCUUACUACGGAGUCAUUGACACUGAGGCACGAAAGCGUGGGGAUCAACAGGAUUAGAUACCCUGGUAGUCACGCCCUAAACGAUGGAUACUCGACAUUUGCGAUACACAGUAAGUGUUGAGCGAAAGCAUUAAGUAUCCCACCUGGGAAGUACGAUCGCAAGAUUGAAACUCAAAGGAAUUGACGGA